GCUGAAGUAGUUCAGUGGUAGAAUACAACCUUGCCAAGGUUGGGGUCGCGGGUUCGAAUCCCGUCUUCCGCUCCA
RNAcentral lists this transfer RNA (75 nucleotides) under Bacillus cereus. RNAcentral's name for it is "tRNA-Gly". It matches the Rfam family "tRNA". From Rfam's summary of the family: Transfer RNA (tRNA) molecules are approximately 80 nucleotides in length. The record is from RNAcentral. Lineage: Bacteria; Bacillati; Bacillota; Bacilli; Caryophanales; Bacillaceae.